Molecule: ribosomal RNA, 468 nt
Filed under: uncultured bacterium
Lineage: Bacteria
Description: partial 16S ribosomal RNA
Rfam family: Bacterial small subunit ribosomal RNA
Source: RNAcentral
GACGAACGCUGGCGGCGUGCUUAACACAUGCAAGUCGAACGGAAAGGCCCUGCUUUUGUGGGGUGCUCGAGUGGCGAACGGGUGAGUAACACGUGAGUAACCUGCCCUUGACUUUGGGAUAACUUCAGGAAACUGGGGCUAAUACCGGAUAGGAGCUCCUGCUGCAUGGUGGGGGUUGGAAAGUUUCGGCGGUUGGGGAUGGACUCGCGGCUUAUCAGCUUGUUGGUGGGGUAGUGGCUUACCAAGGCUUUGACGGGUAGCCGGCCUGAGAGGGUGACCGGCGACAUUGGGACUGAGAUACGGCCCAGACUCCUACGGGAGGCAGCAGUGGGGAAUAUUGCACAAUGGGCGGAAGCCUGAUGCAGCAACGCCGCGUGCGGGAUGACGGCCUUCGGGUUGUAAACCGCUUUCGCCUGUGACGAAGCGCGAGUGACGGUAAUGGGUAAAGAAGCACCGGCUAACUACGUG